RNAcentral lists this ribosomal RNA (850 nucleotides) under uncultured deep-sea bacterium. RNAcentral's name for it is "bacterial SSU rRNA". It matches the Rfam family "Bacterial small subunit ribosomal RNA", at positions 8 to 861 of the family's 1533-position model. The record is from RNAcentral.
AGAGUUUGAUCAUGGCUCAGGAUGAACGCUGGCGGCGUGCCUAAUACAUGCAAGUCGAACGAGGCCCUCUUCCUUCGGGAGGAGGUGUCCUAGUGGCGAACGGGUGAGUAACACGUUGGUGACCUACCCCGAAGAGGGGGACAACCCCGGGAAACUGGGGCUAAUACCCCAUGUGUUCCAGAGCGUUAGAGGGCUUUGGAUGAAAUGGAUGCUUCGCAUUCGCUUCGGGAGGGGCCUGCGGCCUAUCAGCUAGUUGGUGAGGUAAUGGCUCACCAAGGCGACGACGGGUAGGGGACCUGAGAGGGUGACCCCCCACACUGGAACUGAAACACGGACCAGACACCUACGGGUGGCAGCAGUAGGGAAUAUUGCACAAUAGGCGAAAGCCUGAUGCAGCAACGCCGCGUGCGCGAUGAAGGCCUUCGGGUUGUAAAGCGCUUUUCUGGGGGAAGAGAAAGGACGGUACCCCAGGAAUAAGUCUCGGCUAACUACGUGCCAGCAGCCGCGGUAAAACGUAGGAGGCAAGCGUUAUCCGGAUUUACUGGGCGUAAAGCGCGUGCAGGCGGUUUGGUAAGUCGGACGUGAAAGCUCCCGGCUCAACUGGGAGAGGCCGUUCGAAACUGCCAGACUAGAGGGCAGCAGAGGGAGGUGGAAUUCCGGGUGUAGCGGUGAAAUGCGUAGAUAUCCGGAGGAACACCAGUGGCGAAGGCGGCCUCCUGGACUGUCCCUGACGCUAAGACGCGAAAGCUAGGGUAGCAAACGGGAUUAGAAACCCCGGUAGUCCUAGCCGUAAACGAUGCACACUUGGUGUUGGUGGCAUAAAACCCAUCAGUGCCGCAGCUAACGCGAU